Molecule: ribosomal RNA, 253 nt
Filed under: uncultured bacterium
Lineage: Bacteria
Description: partial 16S ribosomal RNA
Rfam family: Bacterial small subunit ribosomal RNA
Source: RNAcentral
UACGUAGGUGACAAGCGAUAUCCGGAAUUACUGGGCGUAAAGCGCACGCAGGUGGCUACUUAAGUCUGACGUGAAAGCUCCUGGCUUAACUGGGUGAGGUCGUUGGAAACUGAGUGGCUUGAGGCGAUGAGAGGGGUAUGGAAUUCCCGGUGUAGUGGUGGAAUGCGUAGAGAUCGGGAGGAACACCAGUGGCGAAAGCGAUACACUAGCGUUAUCCUGACGCUCAUGUGCGAAAGCGUGGGGAACUUACAGG